Long non-coding RNA from Homo sapiens (human), 1668 nucleotides. The record is from Ensembl. Lineage: Eukaryota; Metazoa; Chordata; Mammalia; Primates; Hominidae.
GGGUGCCUGCCUGGCUCCCCCAGCAGCCGGGCUGUGGGAAGAUGGGUGAGAGUCAGCUCUCUGAGUGCUUGGCGGCAGGCGGUCAGCUCAGCUGGUGGGAACAGCAGGACGGUGUGGACGUCAGCCUGGCACGGGGCAGGGGUGCCCCUCAGCAGAAUGGCAUGGGGGCUGUGGCAAGCUCCCCUCCAUCUCUGGUCCCUGGAGUCAGACUAGACCUUCGCCGCAUCCGGCUCGAAGGCUCGGAUGGAUGAUGGAUUGCCCGGCCCAUCUUCCCCGGGGGGUUGGAUCUGAGACCAUCAGCAUCCAGCAGCCGUGAGUGUGAUGGAUGAACCGAGGCCAGUCACCUAGUGGGGAAACGACAUCUCACAUUUAAAGAACACCAGGCGUUUCUACACAGCGGGGGAAGGAAAUCCGUCCUGAUUUUAAACUUUGGCACAGCUGUGAAACCGAGGGUAGUGAACUCUGAGGAGAGGACUCUUUUCUGGACAUACAUUUAACGUCCGUGAAAGCCUCAGACCCCCUGAGCACACCUGCCUAGCCGUGUUGUGGACGAACAAGGGCUGACGAAAUGCCUGUGGAGGCUGAUUUCACCGGAGUCAGGGGAAGUCAGUCUAAGCAAAGAGCAGGGGCACGGAUGAAAAUAACAGAACAGUGACCCAGGUAGGAACCGUGUGCCGGGGAGGCUGGGCCAAGCAUUUAUAGAAACUGCCCAAAGAGCAGAGCAGGGCGGGCGUUUCGGCCCAUUUUACAGACCAGGAAAACGGGCGGAGAGGCUGAGUGACUGCCCGAGGCGACACACAGCUCUCCCGCCCUGUUUGCUUACACACAUUCUUGGCCAUGCAGUGAAGGGAGUUCCCAGCAGUGUCCCCCGCCCACUCGCAUCCUAUUGCCCAGCUGAGCCCCUCCCUUGGCUCUCCCACCCAUGGGCCUGAUGGCCACAGCUGGGAUCCACCGGACACUGCAGUCCCCCAGGCUUCGGGUCUUUGCCUCCUUAGUCACCUGCGAAGCACCUCCUAUGUGCCAGCUCUGCCCGUCCAGGGAGAAGCAGCACAGCCCGGCCACCCGAGGCCUCCUGUGCGCUUCCCCGUCUGAGGUCCGUGAUCAGAACUGCGGGCCUCUCCCCAGAGGUCGGGGCAGCGACAGGACAGCCGCGGGCUUCUCCGCAGAGGUCGGGGCAGCGACAGGACAGCCUCAGCCUCUUCAGAUGCUGCCUUCAGGGAGCAGUGAAAGAGGGAGGGAGAGACAGAGAGCACCCGGGCGGGUCUCCCAGCCACACCAGGCUGGUGGGUGGGAUUUAUGUGCCAGGUACUGUGCUGGCUAUCACCGGGGCCUGGUGGUCUCUUGGAGUCACAAGCAGCCGCCUGAGAUGAGGUUUAUCAUUUUGAGCUAGAAUAGGACUGAAGCUCAUUCCCGAGGGGCUGGCCGGGCCGGCUCUCCCUGCCUGCCGGCAUCUCCACUGCCUCUGCUGUCCUGAAGCUCUUAUGAGGGUUCACAUUACUAGGACGCCAAUGUGGGUUCUCCUCUGGGCACUGGCCCCAAGGCACCCCAACCUCAGACAUGUCACCUCCUGGGCCUACUAGAAAUGGAGACUGCAGUUCUAUGAUGGGAAAAUCUCUACACCAUCGGUCAUUUGGGCUAUAGAAGAAAAAGAAAUUAUUUUCAGCUGCA